Long non-coding RNA from Onychomys torridus (southern grasshopper mouse), 4443 nucleotides. RefSeq lists it as uncharacterized. The record is from RefSeq and is a predicted model, not a curated record. Lineage: Eukaryota; Metazoa; Chordata; Mammalia; Rodentia; Cricetidae. The transcript has 3 exons.
GUGUCUAUUCAUUUUUUAAAUGUUACCUGGCAGUGUUUGACUAUCACAGAAAUAAUAGACUGAGUUUGUAUAGACUGUCUGAAAUUCCUACACCAACUCCCAUAUAUACAUGGUGUUAAUAAUAAGAUUUAAUCAGUCUUAACACUAGAACUAUAAAUCUCUAUUUUGUAUUUAAUCUGUAUGAGGUUUAUUUGAACCACUUUAUAUAUAUUCAACUACUUUUGCCUAUGUACAUAAUUUCUGAUUACAUUUUGUGAAUAUAUUUUACAUUUAAAAUUUAGAGUAAAUGCUUUGUGUGAAAAUGUUUUAAAACUGUAUAAUGUUUCAAAUGUAUGUAGUUACAUUAUUUAAAACCUUCAUGAGUAUAAUAAUGAUAAUAAAUAAUUUUUGUGUUUAUGGAAAGCUGUAUUUAAAACAUUUGGCUUAUACUACUUCAGAUUUUAAAUGUAUAGAAUAUAGGAAAAGAAUAAAUUAUUUUUGUUGUUAAAAUAUUUAUCAUUAUGUAGGAUUCAUUGUGUUGGUAUGAUAGUUAAAGUUGAAUUACCUGAACAUAGUGUUAACAAAGGCCUCUUUUAAUAUAUAUAUAUAAUAUAAAAAAUAUUAUGUGUGUAUAUUAUACCAUGGUGUCAAUACAGUCUUUUUAGCUACUAAAUUAGGUGUAUAACUCAAAUAUAAGCAUAUAAAAAUGUUACUGUUUUUUGUAAAGUGUAUGCCAUAUAAAAGGCAUGUACCUUCAUUUUAUUUUUCUGGUCACUGAGAUUUGUGAUACAAUUUAUUUCUCUAAAUGAUCUAGAUAUUUCAGAAUUGCAUAGUUCUGUAUUUAUCUGACACAUGUCAAAAAUUAACUUUGUAAGUAAUAAGCUAUUUUUCAUAUCAAACAAGUGGUAAUUCUAGAAAUACUGAGACUUAGAAAUUAUAAGCUUAUAAAUAUAUUGUAAAUACUAUUGCAUAUUAUAAUUAAUAUGAUAAACUGAUAGCUUAUAGAGGGGAUCAUGGAGCUCACAGUUUUCAUAAUUGUUUGAAUGAUAGAGGAGAAAGAUAUAAACACUAUGCAUUUACUCUCUUCUCAUAGUAGGACAGUUGACCAUUACAUGUGAGUUGCACAUCAAAAACUGACAUGGCAGGUAAUUCAGUUGGCUUCUUGAGCAAUAAUGAGCCUACUGAUGCACCUCUUCUACUUUUCUCGUAAACUUUCAUGAAGAUUUUGUACUACCUCUUGGAACACUGCAAAGUUUUGUAUGUGUUUCCUUGUUGCAUGACAAUAUUCAAGACAACUUUGUAAAUAGUCAAAUACAAAAUUUUAACAUCUAGUCUUUCUAGAUGUACAGAGUGUCACAGGGUAUAAUUUUGUAAAUACAUCAUUGUAAACUGUCAUUGCAUCCACUAAAUUUCUGGGAAUGAAAUCUUUAAAUUUGAGGUUUUUUCCACUUUUGUGUUCAUUAUUUGUUAGGGGAGUGAGUUCUUUUUUUUUUUUUAAGAAUAUUUAAAUUUAACUUUGGCUACAUAUCUCAAGAAAAAUCUUCAUUAACCAUAGGAUAAGUAAGGUUUUUAUUGUACAAUUAAGAAUGCAAAUUAUAAUUGUGUGGUUGUAUUAAUGAUAGGCCAUUAUAUAAAUAUACCUUGCUAGUCAUUAUAGGAAAAAACUCUUAGAGUUACUUCUACCUCUAUGCAUUAAUAUUUAUAUAUAUUUACAUUGCAUGACAGCAUUCAAGACAAGUUGUAAAUAACUGGUAAAUAUUUCCAUUUGAAAAAUCCAUUUUGUAGAUAUACAUUCUUAACAAAAUAUAAGCUGUGAAUAUUUCAUUGUAAACUAGCAUUAAAAUUAUUCCAGCAAAUGUUUUUUUCAAUGCAAUAGAUCAGUACUACUCAGUAUAAAAAUAUUUCUAAGUUGUUCCUCAUUGAGAGAAGAAUAAGCUAGGUCUUAUUUUUACUUGGAGAAAAAUUAAAGAAAAGAAUUAGAUACUUUUUAUCUUCUAGAAGAAAGAUGAACAGUAAAAAAAAAUUAAUUUAAUUGAACAAAAUGUUUUCUUGCCUAUUUAAUCUAGGCACAUUUGCUUAUUUAUAUCUACAAUUAUCUUAAAAUCAUAACAUCUUAUUUUAUAGUAGUAUAUAAACUACUUAAUAUUUGUCUUUUGUGUGUUUAUACAUUAGUAUACCCACUUUACAAAUCAUAAAAUUAACAUUCUAGUUCUAAUUCAGAUGAUUUGGCAAUCUCAAUGCUAUUGCUAGACACAUUUUGUGUUAACGAAGAGCCUAUAUCUUUGUUUAUUUAUGUGUUUACACAUCUUUAUUUAUCCAUGUAUUUAUACAUCUUUAGUAUAUAAAAUGUUAAAACUUGUUUAAAUUUUGUAUAUUUUUUUCUAGGAUUAUUAAAGGUAAACAUCUAGUGUUCUCUCUAAUGUAUUGUAAGAAAAAUUAGCCUAUAUGACAUUAAAGGCAUUGUACAUUAUGGAGUUGGGCAUGAUGAGGAACACUUAUACCCGCACCUGCCAAGAUUAUACUCGGCUACAUACCCAGUUUGAGGCCAGCCUUGGAUCAUAAGACCCUUUGUCAGAAGAUAUGAAAGAAAAAAACCUGAAUACCUCCCUACAGAACCAGGAAUUACAAGACUGUAAUUUUUUUUUGAAAUUUUGGAGUUGGCCUCUAAGAUUUUUAUCAUUUCUUACUCUGAAAAAUUUAAUUGUUGAAUAUAAAAAUAGCAAAAUGCCAGAUCUGUCAAUGAACAGAUCAUAAGGAUUGUAGCUUAAAGUGAAUGUAAUUUAAUGCUUAUAAUAUCCUUUCUCUGUAGAAAUGUAUGUUUGUUGAAUUUUAAUUGAAGAAAAGUACAAUUUACCUACAUGUAGAUAUAUUUUAGUUCUUCCAAUUAAAGUUGGUAAUUAAGAAAAUGUUAAUUACACAUAGGUAAUAUCAGUCUGACAGUUAAUACUUCUAUAUUACAAUGUAUGUUAUUUUACAGUAAUGAUUGAAGAUUUGUUCAAGUGAUUUAGUAUAUUCAUGCUUGGAAAUUGCUACAUGAGAACAUCUAGAACGAAUGAACAAUUUAUACAAACAGAAAACAUGUUCAGGAAGAACAUUAAAGUUUUAACACUCCAAAAUAGAAAGUAAUAAGACCUCUUCUAUCUGCCUUUGUAUUUUAUGAGGGCCUUUGCAAAUAAGCAGCUAAACAACAAGAAAGAGACAAUUUAUGGCUGUACCUUUGUCAACAUCAUGGGAGUGCUGGGUUGCCAUAUCCAACUUUCUAUUCCUAGCAGCCCUUAUGAAUGGUUUUUGAACAUUUUUGUGAAGAAUUUUAGACACUCCAGCACCUUAUGUGUCAACAAUGAGUAUUGCAUUAUCCAAUGAUAAAAAGAAGAUGAAAAUUCACGUCAUUAUGAUGACAGACUCAUUAAACCUACCAUGAUAGCAACUUAUGGAGUCUACAAAAAUUUACUAAAGUGAACUGCAAAAUAUAGGUGAUCACCAAAAUCAUUGUUUCUACAAACUUCAUAAUGGUAAAAAGAUCUCAGGUGUCUGUGUGACUAGUCUUAUUGAUCAUUAAAAUUGAACCCAGCUAAUUGGAUGGAGACUGAAAUGUCUUUGAAGAAAAUAUUUUAAAAAUAUUUAAAGACUUUCAUUGAUUUUGUUGGACUAACUCAAGAAAUGGAGACACAACCACAUGGAUAUGAUGGAACUGACAUUGGCUUCAUCACAGUGUUUUCAUAAGUAUGAAGUGCUUCUCAUGAUAAUGACUUCAUCUUAAUCUUGAAGCUGAUUUGAAGUAAAUUAGAACUGAUUAUAAAUUUCCUUUUCAAAUGGUUUAACUGUGUAGCACAGUCUGACAUUUGAACUUACUUCGCCUCAGCUGCCUUUGUGGUGAGAUUAUUGAAAUGGACCAUAAGCUAACUUAGAACAGUGUUGUAUGAAGCUUUAUAUUACAUUCAUCCUAAUUUUAACAUACAGUGUUAACCAAAGUUUGUGAAAUUCUCUGGUAUAUUUUGGAGUGUUGUUUCAUACAUAUUUGUAAAUGCAUCUUACUUACAUGAGUCGAAAUAAUAGCUUUACAUUUUCUAUGUACUAAUUAUGUUUAUAUGGAAAUAUGAAGCUUACAGAGAGUUCAGAGUAAUUUGUAUUGCUUUUUCAUGUAUCAUGGCAAAUUAUAACAAAUCUACAGUUUAGUCAAUGCCCUAGUAUGAAUUCGUGGAUUUGAAUAUUAUUAGUUAAUAAAUUAUUAAAAUUACAAACACUUUAGUUUAUAGUACACUUGUAAUUACUGAUAAUGUACUAUUAUAAACUAUUUAUUUAAUAUUAUUGAAUCAUCAUGCUAUUUAUUUCUAUUUGCUGUUCUGUUUGAGUUUCCAUGCUGAGUAUCUGUUACUUAUUUAUAAACCCAUUUGUGUGUCAAUUGAAAUACUAUGUGUUUUCUAUUUAUUUUGUUUUAAUACUAGCUUGUACAUAACUUAUUCA